UGGUAGUCCCCAGGAAAAGCACUUUUCUGAACUCCCUAGCUGAGGAAUGGAGAUUUAGUACUCAGCAAAUGCAAACUAAUUUCCACAAAAUGUCAAACAAGGAGAUGAUCUCUCUCCCCAAAGGGCUGCUUCUGAAAUAUAAAACAAGAGGCAGAGCCUAAAUAUAUGAGUAGGCAGGGGAAGAAGCACACAGUUCAGCAUGGCGAGCUGUGGUCUGAGCACAUCAGCAAGCUGCCGGGCAGCCAGACCUUCGCUUUAGCUUCCCCAUCUGCAUAUGUGCAAGUCCUUAAUUACAUCACCACCACACAGUCUUCUUGUCUCACCCUGAUGGUUUCAGUGCAGCUUGGAUAACCACUUAGCAUCCCCUUUCUGCUGCCCUUCCUCGCCAGAACUAGCUUGCUGCAGUCUCUUCUGAAACAGGAAUUUUGGGCUUUGCUAUGGCUAUUGCUGUGACACCGGGGGGCUGCACAGGCAGCAGUGGAACCACCUUCAGAGCACGUCAUGGGAUGGAGGAAUAUUGUUCUGCUGCUCAAUGUGGGAGCAUCUGCAGCUCCUCCACUCUGCUGCUCUUUUACUUUUGGAGGAGCAAUUCCUUCUUCAUGGCUGAGGACAUCAGGAGUGAGUGUGCUGGGCGCUGGGGAGGGCUGCUGCAGUGACAGGGAUUAGAGGAUGAACUCGGUGCCAGGGCUCCUGCCUUGACCCCUGGCCACCGCACGAGACUCUGAGUGAGCAGCCACCAUGGACUUCUGGUGCACGUGAACUGAAGCACUCGUCUCCAAGGCCUGGGGAAGGUGGCUAAGCCUGGGCACGCUUUCUGUUCCUCAGCGUGUGUGGUUUAUCCCAGCAGACGUGAGCAAGCUUCUGAGCGAAAAGGUGAGUCUGAAUAUGACAGCACUGAAAGAAAGCCUAAAUAGAGAAAAGUUCUCCCUUUUACCCCCUCUAAAAUUCAUAAGAAAAGUGCUCAAAGCAAUUCAUUGUUGUCUAGCUUGCUGUGUUGUUAGGAGGCUGCGUACCACCCUGGGGUCCCUCUUAUUUCUAGUCUGUAUGUCACAGAA
Molecule: long non-coding RNA, 1055 nt
Organism: Falco peregrinus (peregrine falcon)
Lineage: Eukaryota; Metazoa; Chordata; Aves; Falconiformes; Falconidae
Exons: 3
Source: RefSeq, a predicted model, not a curated record